This is a long non-coding RNA of Mytilus californianus (California mussel), 379 nucleotides long. RefSeq lists it as uncharacterized. Lineage: Eukaryota; Metazoa; Mollusca; Bivalvia; Mytilida; Mytilidae. The record is from RefSeq and is a predicted model, not a curated record. The transcript has 4 exons.
UAGACGAUAUGCAAGACCAGACAUCAUUGGCAUUUUACUUGACAGUGGUUGUCAAGCAAACGAAAAAGAUCCACAGGGUCAAACUGCAUUACACUACGCCGUUGAAAGGGGCCACGACGAGAACAUACAAGUUUUACUGAAAGGGGGAUGUAUUCCAGAUCAGAAAGAUAACUUGGGGAAAACAGCAUUGCAUGCAGCUGCUUUCGAAUUCUCCGCAAAUCAAAAUAUUGUUCAAAUUUUAUUAGAUGGUGGUUGUAAACCAAACGUAACAGACAACGAGGGUAAAACGGCAUUACAUUACGCUGCUGCAUAUGGUGAUCAUGAGAAAGUCAAGGUAUUAAUCAAAGGUGGCUGUAAUCCAGACCAAAUAGAUAAUAAG